UAAUAGCUCCAUUGGUAAAGCAUGAGGCUCUUAAUCUCAGGGGCAAGGGUUCGAACCUCAUGUUGGGUAAA
Molecule: non-coding RNA, 71 nt
Organism: Podarcis lilfordi (Lilford's wall lizard)
Lineage: Eukaryota; Metazoa; Chordata; Lepidosauria; Squamata; Lacertidae
Source: the annotation of a GenBank genome assembly